This 292-nucleotide ribosomal RNA is filed under the name uncultured bacterium. RNAcentral's name for it is "partial 16S ribosomal RNA". It matches the Rfam family "Bacterial small subunit ribosomal RNA", at positions 505 to 796 of the family's 1533-position model. The record is from RNAcentral.
GUGUCAGCAGCCGCGGUAAAACGUAGGACGCAAGCGUUAUCCGGAGUUACUGGGCGUAAAGCGCGGGCAGGCGGCUCGCAACGUCUGAUGUGAAAUCUCCUCGCUCAACGGGGAGAGGCCAUUGGAAACGGUCGAGCUGGAGGGCAGUAGAGGUAGGCGGAAUUCCGGGUGGAGUGGUGAAAUGCGUAGAGAUCCGGAGGAACACCAGAGGCGAAGGCGGCCUACUGGGCUGCACCUGACGCUGAGCCGCGAAAGCCAGGGGAGCGAACGGGAUUAGAAACCCCCGUAGUCC